This 445-nucleotide ribosomal RNA is filed under the name uncultured bacterium. RNAcentral describes it as "bacterial SSU rRNA". It matches the Rfam family "Bacterial small subunit ribosomal RNA", at positions 330 to 793 of the family's 1533-position model. The record is from RNAcentral.
UCCAGACUCCUACGGGAGGCAGCAGUGAGGAAUAUUGGUCAAUGGGCUUACGCCUGAACCAGCCAAGUCGCGUGAGGGAAGACGGUUUUCGGAUUGUAAACCUCUGUCCUCUGUGAAGAUAAUGACGGUAGCAGAGGAGGAAGCUCCGGCUAACUACGUGCCAGCAGCCGCGGUAAUACGUAGGGAGCAAGCGUUGUCCGGAAUUACUGGGUGUAAAGGGAGCGUAGGCGGGGAUGCAAGUUGGGUGUCAAAACUACCGGCUCAACCGAUAGUCGCACUCAAAACUGCAGCUCUUGAGUGAAGUAGAGGCAGGCGGAAUUCCUAGUGUAGCGGUGAAAUGCGUAGAUAUUAGGAGGAACACCAGUGGCGAAGGCGGCCUGCUGGGCUUUUACUGACGCUGAGGCUCGAAAGUGUGGGGAGCAAACAGGAUUAGAUACCCCUGUAA